GACGAACGCUGGCGGCGUGCUUAACACAUGCAAGUCGAACGGAAAGGCCCUGCUUUUGUGGGGUGCUCGAGUGGCGAACGGGUGAGUAACACGUGAGUAACCUGCCCUUGACUUUGGGAUAACUUCAGGAAACUGGGGCUAAUACCGGAUAGGAGCUCCUGCUGCAUGGUGGGGGUUGGAAAGUUUCGGCGGUUGGGGAUGGACUCGCGGCUUAUCAGCUUGUUGGUGGGGUAGUGGCUUACCAAGGCUUUGACGGGUAGCCGGCCUGAGAGGGUGACCGGCCACAUUGGGACUGAGAUACUGCCCAGACUCCUACGGGAGGCAGCAGUGGGGGAUAUUGCACGAUGGGCGGAAGCCUGAUGCAGCAACGCCGCGUGCGGGAUGACGGCCUUCGGGUUGUAAACCGCUUUCGCCUAUGACGAAGCGUGAGUGACGGUAAUGGGUAGAGAAGCACCGGCUAACUACGUG
Molecule: ribosomal RNA, 468 nt
Filed under: uncultured bacterium
Lineage: Bacteria
Description: partial 16S ribosomal RNA
Rfam family: Bacterial small subunit ribosomal RNA
Source: RNAcentral